GGGGUAUCAUCUGUAGGUGACCUGCGGAAGGAUCAUUACCGAGUGCGGGCCCUCGUGGCCCAACCUCCCACCCUUGUCUCUAUACACCUGUUGCUUUGGCGGGCCCACCGGGGCCACCUGGUCGCCGGGGGACAUCUGUCCCCGGGCCCGCGCCCGCCGAAGCGCUCUGUGAACCCUGAUGAAGAUGGGCUGUCUGAGUACUAUGAAAAUUGUCAAAACUUUCAACAAUGGAUCUCUUGGUUCCGGCAUCGAUGAAGAACGCAGCGAAAUGCGAUAAGUAAUGUGAAUUGCAGAAUUCCGUGAAUCAUCGAAUCUUUGAACGCACAUUGCGCCCCCUGGCAUUCCGGGGGGCAUGCCUGUCCGAGCGUCAUUUCUGCCCUCAAGCACGGCUUGUGUGUUGGGUGCGGUCCCCCCGGGGACCUGCCCGAAAGGCAGCGGCGACGUCCGUCUGGUCCUCGAGCGUAUGGGGCUUUGUCACUCGCUCGGGAAGGACUGGCGGGGGUUGGUCACCACCAAAAUUUUACCACGGUUGACCUCGGAUCAGGUAGGAGUUACCCGCUGAACUUAAGCAUAUCAUAG
This 579-nucleotide ribosomal RNA is filed under the name Penicillium sp. R-22. RNAcentral's name for it is "eukaryotic LSU rRNA". The stretch from base 217 to 370 matches the Rfam family "5.8S ribosomal RNA". The record is from RNAcentral. Lineage: Eukaryota; Fungi; Ascomycota; Eurotiomycetes; Eurotiales; Aspergillaceae.